Molecule: ribosomal RNA, 252 nt
Filed under: uncultured bacterium
Lineage: Bacteria
Description: partial 16S ribosomal RNA
Rfam family: Archaeal small subunit ribosomal RNA
Source: RNAcentral
UACCAGCACCCCGAGUGGUCGGGACGAUUAUUGGGCCUAAAGCAUCCGUAGCCGGUCAUGCAAGUCUUCCGUUAAAUCCAGCCGCUCAACAGUUGGGCUGCGGAGGAUACUACGUGGCUAGGAGGCGGGAGAGGCAAGCGGUACUCAGUGGGUAGGGGUAAAAUCCUUGAUCCAUUGAAGACCACCAGUGGCGAAGGCGGCUUGCCAGAACGCGCUCGACGGUGAGGGAUGAAAGCUGGGGGAGCAACCAGG